Molecule: ribosomal RNA, 995 nt
Filed under: Peltocopta crassiventris
Lineage: Eukaryota; Metazoa; Arthropoda; Insecta; Hemiptera; Tessaratomidae
Description: SSU rRNA
Rfam family: Eukaryotic small subunit ribosomal RNA
Source: RNAcentral
GCAGCAGGCACGCAAAUUACCCACUCCCGGCACGGGGAGGUAGUGACAAAAAAUAACGAUACGGGACUCAUCCGAGGCCCCGUAAUCGGAAUGAGAACACCCUAAAUCCUUUAACGAGGAUCUAUUGGAGGGCAAGUCUGGUGCCAGCAGCCGCGGUAAUUCCAGCUCCAAUAGCGUAUAUUAAAGUUGUUGCGGUUAAAAAGCUCGUAGUUGGUUCUGCGUGCCACGCUGUCGGUUCACCGCCUGCCGGUGCAACUGGCAUGCCGUGGCAUGUCCUGUCGGUGGCUGACAGGCUUCGCGGCGAGCUCCCGCUCGUUCAACACGUGUGGGUCGCUCCGCCGCGUUGUCCUUGUAGGCCGUCUCAAUCCUACCGCGGUGCUCUUUGCCGAGUGUCGAGGUAGGCCGACACUGUUUACUUUGAACAAAUUAGAGUGCUUCAAGCAGGCUCUGAAAGCAGCCUGAAUAGUGGUGCAUGGAAUAAURGAAYAGGACCUYGGUUCUAUUUUGUUGGUUUUCGGAAYCCMGAGGUAAUGAUUAAUAGGGACAGAUGGGGGCAUUCGUAUUGCGACGUUAGACUUGGCAAAUGCUUUCGCGGUGAAAUUCUUGGAUCGUCGCAAGACGAACAGAAGCGAAAGCAUUUGCCAAAAAUGUUUUCAUUAAUCAAGAACGAAAGUUAGAGGUUCGAAGGCGAUCAGAUACCGCCCUAGUUCUAACCAUAAACGAUGCCAGCUAGCGAUCCGCCGAAGUUCCUUAUAUGACUCGGCGGGCAGCUUCCGGGAAACCAAAGCUUUUGGGUUCCGGGGGAAGUAUGGUUGCAAAGCUGAAACUUAAAGGAAUUGACGGAAGGGCACCACCAGGAGUGGAGCCUGCGGCUUAAUUUGACUCAACACGGGAAACCUCACCAGGCCCGGACACUGGAAGGAUUGACAGAUUGAUAGCUCUUUCUUGAUUCGGUGGGUGGUGGUGCAUGGCCGUUCUUAGUUGGUGGAGCGAUU